This 582-nucleotide long non-coding RNA is filed under the name Sinocyclocheilus grahami. RNAcentral describes it as "lncRNA (ENSSGRG00000019308.1)". The record is from RNAcentral. Lineage: Eukaryota; Metazoa; Chordata; Actinopteri; Cypriniformes; Cyprinidae.
CUGUGCCAGCAGGUCUGUCAAAAUACCUUGGGCUCCUACAAGUGCCGUUGCAGUCCAGGGUUUCACCUCUCUUCGGAUGGGACAUCCUGCUCUGACAUUAAUGAGUGAGACGGCGGUCUUCCAGCAGAAACUGUUGCAGAGGUGUGAGUGGAAGUGUGUAAAUCUGCCAGGUAUUUACAGAUGUAUCUGUCCUCAUGGAUACAGACUGCAUCUUAAUGGACACCAGUGUGAAGAUGUUAAUGAGUGUGAACUGAAGAACGCCAACUGUUCUCACCUCUGCAUCAACCACAUAGGCGGCUACAAAUGUGCCUGUCCAGAAACACAUCGAAUAUCCCCAUAUAACCAAAAAAACUGUCAGCCGGUAGACUAACACACAUCAGCUCAUCACACUGACUCAUUUAUCUUUUUUUUGUAUAUUCAUUUAACUAUCUUUUGUAUUUAAUACAAAAUAUUUUGUAUUUGUACACCCGCAGUUAUGUACGAAUAAGCUCUGAUGAUGAUGAUGAUGAUGAUGAUGAUGACGACGACGGUGUAUUGUAUUUAUAAUGAUAAAGUUCUGUUUUUUUAUUGCUUAUAAAGAAU